UAAAUUAUUUAUCCAAUCCUUUUGCAGUUAUGAGGUCAAGCAAACCCCUAUCAUCCUUUCAUACCUAGAACUGACACCACCCGUUCUGGGAGCCUAGGCUGCUGUUUAAUUCUGGCAGUUCCUCCACUAGAGCACCACAGUUGGAGUUAAAAAUGUGGUUUUCUGAAGCCAUGUGGUUAGAGUUAAACCUUGGCUUCUCUAUUUCAUUUUAUCUGGUGUUACAAUAUUGGGCUUUAAAUCCUCUCUGAAAAUACUUGGGAAAUAGAAAAACCCUCAUGUGUCCCACUGAAAAAUAUUCCUGGUUUCUUCCUAUAGAAAAGUGGAGUAUCUAAAUUUCUUGGUCUGAAUGCAGCUUUAAGAAGGAUGUCCAUCAUAUUGU
Molecule: long non-coding RNA, 379 nt
Filed under: Bos taurus (domestic cattle)
Lineage: Eukaryota; Metazoa; Chordata; Mammalia; Artiodactyla; Bovidae
Description: long non-coding RNA NONBTAT008043
Source: RNAcentral